This 63-nucleotide transfer RNA is filed under the name Salmo salar (Atlantic salmon). It matches the Rfam family "tRNA". From Rfam's summary of the family: Transfer RNA (tRNA) molecules are approximately 80 nucleotides in length. Their secondary structure includes four short double-helical elements and three loops (D, anti-codon, and T loops). Further hydrogen bonds mediate the characteristic L-shaped molecular structure. tRNAs have two regions of fundamental functional importance: the anti-codon, which is responsible for specific mRNA codon recognition, and the 3' end, to which the tRNAs corresponding amino acid is attached (by aminoacyl-tRNA synthetases). tRNAs cope with the degeneracy of the genetic code in two manners: having more than one tRNA (with a specific anti-codon) for a particular amino acid; and 'wobble' base-pairing, i.e. permitting non-standard base-pairing at the 3rd anti-codon position. Lineage: Eukaryota; Metazoa; Chordata; Actinopteri; Salmoniformes; Salmonidae. The record is from Rfam by way of RNAcentral.
UCCCGUGUGGCUCAGUUGGUAGAGCAUGGUGUUUGCAACGCCUGGGUUCGAUUCCCACGGGGG